AGGACGAACGCUGGCGGCGUGCUUAACACAUGCAAGUCGAGCGGAAAGGCCCUUCGGGGUACUCGAGCGGCGAACGGGUGAGUAACACGUGAGCAACCUGCCCCUGGCUCUGGGAUAGCCUCCGGAAACGGGGAUUAAUACCGGACAUGACCCUUGACCGCAUGGUUGGGGGUGGAAAGUUUUUCGGCCAGGGUGGGGCUCGCGGCCUAUCAGCUUGGUUGGGGGGUGACGGCCCACCAAGGCGACGACGGGUAG
This 255-nucleotide ribosomal RNA is filed under the name uncultured bacterium. Its description in RNAcentral is "partial small subunit ribosomal RNA". It matches the Rfam family "Bacterial small subunit ribosomal RNA", at positions 26 to 286 of the family's 1533-position model. The record is from RNAcentral.